Molecule: ribosomal RNA, 365 nt
Filed under: uncultured bacterium
Lineage: Bacteria
Description: bacterial SSU rRNA
Rfam family: Bacterial small subunit ribosomal RNA
Source: RNAcentral
AACGAACGCUGGCGGCAGGCUUAACACAUGCAAGUCGAACGGGCGUAGCAAUACGUCAGUGGCGGACGGGUGAGUAACACGUGGGAAUAUGCCUUUCGGUUCGGAACAACUCGGGGAAACCCGUGCUAAUUCCGGAUACGCCCUUACGGGGAAAGGAUUUAUCGCCGAAAGAUUAGCCCGCGUUGGAUUAGCUAGUUGGUGAGGUAAAGGCUCACCAAGGCGACGAUCCAUAGCUGGUUUGAGAGAACGACCAGCCACACUGGGACUGAGACACGGCCCAGACUCCUACGGGAGGCAGCAGUGGGGAAUCUUGGACAAUGGGCGCAAGCCUGAUCCAGCCAUGCCGCGUGAGUGAUGAAGGCCUU